Molecule: ribosomal RNA, 390 nt
Filed under: uncultured bacterium
Lineage: Bacteria
Description: bacterial SSU rRNA
Rfam family: Bacterial small subunit ribosomal RNA
Source: RNAcentral
AGAGUUUGAUCCUGGCUCAGAACGAACGCUGGCGGCAGGCUUAACACAUGCAAGUCGAACGCUCGUAGCAAUACGGGAGUGGCAGACGGGUGAGUAACGCGUGGGAACAUACCCUCCGGUUCGGAAUAGCUCAGGGAAACUUGGAUUAAUACCGGAUACGGCUGAGAGGCGAAAGAUUUAUCGCCGGAGGAUUGGCCCGCGUUCGAUUAGCUUGUUGGUGAGGUAACGGCUCACCAAGGCGAUGAUCGAUAGCUGGUCUGAGAGGAUGAUCAGCCACAUUGGGACUGAGACACGGCCCAAACUCCUACGGGAGGCAGCAGUGGGGAAUAUUGGACAAUGGGCGCAAGCCUGAUCCAGCCAUGCCGCGUGAGUGAUGACGGCCUUAGGGUU